This 2421-nucleotide unclassified non-coding RNA is filed under the name Ceratitis capitata (Mediterranean fruit fly). Its description in RNAcentral is "glycerol kinase, transcript variant X3". The record is from RNAcentral. Lineage: Eukaryota; Metazoa; Arthropoda; Insecta; Diptera; Tephritidae.
UCAUAUUUGCAAUAACAAAUUACGGCAUGUUUGUUUAGUUUGAACAAUUAACAAUUCCGUACUUUAUAUUUCUGUGUAAAGUGACUAUCAUUAGAACUUAAAACAAACAGUGUCAUCAAGCACCAACUGAAUGUCAUGGCCAGCCCUACUUUUGGGGCCUUCGGUCCAUUGAUUGGUGUGGUCUACGUGAGCAGUACCCAUUGUCGAUUUCUCAUUUAUUCAACUAAAAAUGCAGAAGUAUUGACUUUUCAUGAAAUAAAAUUACGUCAAAUUGUCCAUAAUGCAGGUUGGCUAGAAUACGAUCCCUUAGAAAUAUGGAAAAACACCCAAGAAUGCAUUGAGACAGCUUACAGGAGCUUAAUAAUUUUGGAAAUUAAUCCGUAUGAUUUGGUUGCUAUAAGUAUAUGUAGUCAGCGUGGAACGACACUUUUAUGGGACAAAAGCACUGGAAAUCCUCUAUGCAAUGCUAUUGGAUGGAACGAUUGCCGGACUUCCACGCUUUUGAAGACCAUUCUUGGUAAUAUAAAUUAUGAUGCAGAUUAUUUGCGCCAUAAAACGGGAUUGCCUUUAAGCACAUGUUUCAGUGCACUUAAGAUCCGCUGGCUUCAGGAAAAUAUAACUGCGGUAUCUGAUGCCAUAAACGAGGGUACGUGUCUCUUUGGCACUCUUGACUCGUGGAUAUUAUGGAAUCUCACUGGAUCCAAUAUAAGUGGUGUACACCUGACAGAUGUAACCAAUGCAGGCUACACAAGUCUUAUGAAUAUACACACUCAUCAAUGGGACGCCAAACUUUGCAAAUUUUUUCGUAUUCCCAUGCAAAUACUGCCGCGUAUACGCUCAAAUUCUGAACUAUAUGGCUAUAUAAUUGGGGGUGCACUGAAUGGUCUUCCCAUAGCAGCGUGCAUUGGGGAACAACCAGCUGCCUUGCUUGGCCAACUACAAACGAAAGUUGGUGAAAAUGUCUGCAUUAUCGAUGACAGCUGCUUUGUAUUGCUUAAUACAGGCGAAGAAUUGAUUGAGUCUUCUAAUGGUUUGCUAUCGCUGGUGGCUUUAAAAUUAGGUCCACAAGCGCCUGCUUCCUAUUCGUUGGAAGGUGCUAUUUCCAAUGCCGGUGCCACCAUUAAUUGGCUUAAGCAGGGAUUACGUAUAAGCACAGAAAUUAAUUCCAAUGACAAUGUCGUUGAAGUCCUAAGCACGUUUUUAGGGGAAAAUUCAAUGAUUUCCUCAUCUUGUUCAUCAGGUAUGCUAAAUGCCGAGUGUGGAUUGGCUGCGAAACGUUCAGAGAUAACAUUUGUGCCUGCUUUUCAUGGGUUAUAUGCGCCAUAUUGGCGUUACGAUGCGCGAGGAAUUUUACUGGGUCUAACGAGCCAAACAACAGCAGAAAAUGUUACUCAGGCUGCUUAUGAGGCAACUGGUUUCCAAAUUCACGAAGUUUUGGAUGCUUUUAAACGAGAUACACCCACAUGGAAUCGUAAAAUCAAUAAAGAGCGCUUGGUAUUUUGUGGCGACUAUGCAGAGAAUAACUCUUUCGUGCAAUUUAUAGCAGAUAUCGUUGGUUGUUUGUUGGAAAGACCACAGACAACAUCGCCUGCUGGCUUAGGGGCAAUGAUUUGUGCUGGCAUAACAAUGAAUGUGGUGUCUUUGGUGCAGGCGGAGGUAAUGUAUCCACCACCAGUGGACGCAUUUAUUCCCACAACGACGACAAAUCGGCGUGAACAAUUAUAUAAGCGUUGGAACUAUGCUGUACGGAAAUGCCUAAAUUGGAAUAAUUUUGCCACAUAUGAGGAAGAUUUGGAGUUGUUUGCUCAACGUGACAAUGAUCCGAAUCUUCCAAUACGACGUUCGCUUCCAGGUAGCAUAUAUAUAACGAGUUCAUUUUUGCUCUUGCUUGUAGCAAAUUUCCUGCGCGGACGUAACAUUUCAUAAAAGCAAAUUGAGCAAGACCUAAAAAAUUAUUAGCAGAAUCAAUGUAUUCCUAUGCCAUUUCAUUUUUAAAUACAUUUGUUAAUGUUUGGAUUGCCCGAAAUUGCAAGUCUGAUUAGGCAAUUGAACGAUUGAGUGUGUGGGUGUCUAGUCAAUUUAAUUGCUGAAUACGCUUCCUUUUAGUUUAUAUUGUACAGUUCCAUAAAAGCUCUGAAAUGUGUGGUGUGUGCAUGUAUAAUGUUCAAUAUAUUUAUCGGUUGCAUUUAUUUGCAUAAUUCAUUGUUAUGAUUCGUAAUUUGAUGCGGAUUAAAUCAGCUUAUUAUCUCAUUAAGCUAAAUAUUGACAUCAUCGAUGAAAUAAAGAGCAAAGAUUCAUUUUUGAAAGUUUAAUUAAGGUUAUUUUGAUUAGGUAUUAUAUUUAUUAUCUAAUAAUAAUUUUAAAUUACAUUUAUAGGAAAUGUCUAAUAAAACUGUGGAACAAUAAAAUGUAGAUUUUAAA